CAGAGUCUGAUGUCAGCAACUUCUUGAUGCCCUGGAAAGCUUCAUUGUGCUGGCCACAUAGCAGAGCUGCUUCAUCGCUUACUGGAUAAAGGAGCUCAGUGGAAGUGAGCAGGCCAUCCAGGAGAUAAUCGAACUCACAAAAUUCAGCAAAAGGACGGAGCUCAGCCAGUUACAGCUCCAAGUUCCAAGUCUACAACAACUGCAGGAGGAUUUCCCAACAGGUUAUUCAUUGCAACAUAGCAACUGGGAAAGAAACAGACUUGGAAUCAUCUUUUCCUCAUAUUUCCAGGAAGGAUCUCCAGUGUAUUUUCAGUUCAUUCAUCACUAAAGUUUAAAAAGUGGAAAACAAGGUCUGACUGACAGUACCAGCAGCCACUGGAUACUAUUUUCUACACUAGAUUCUUUCCUUAUCCAAUCCAAUUUAGUGUUCAGUUUUCUGGGUUAAUCACAUUUGUGAUAAUGCUGUCUCAGAGUUUAAUCCUAUGCUUUAAAUGUUUUGAUAUAAAAUUUAUAAUCUGUAUUAAGUAUCAUAGAUUUGAAAGUCUGGCACCAGUAUGAAGAUUGUAUACCCCAACAGUAAAAUAAUGCCAACUGCUUCAAAAGUUAUGUUAUUGU
Long non-coding RNA from Alligator mississippiensis (American alligator), 615 nucleotides. RefSeq lists it as uncharacterized. The record is from RefSeq and is a predicted model, not a curated record. NCBI's taxonomy places the organism in Eukaryota, Metazoa, Chordata, Crocodylia, Alligatoridae. The transcript is spliced from 3 exons.